ACGGGCGCAUGGCCGGGAAACCAACCUUUACCACUUUACCAGUAGCCUCAAGU
RNAcentral lists this ribosomal RNA (53 nucleotides) under Anopheles culicifacies. RNAcentral's name for it is "partial 28S ribosomal RNA". Lineage: Eukaryota; Metazoa; Arthropoda; Insecta; Diptera; Culicidae. The record is from RNAcentral.